CCUACGGGUGGCUGCAGUGGGGAAUAUUGGACAAUGGGGGCAACCCUGAUCCAGCCAUGCCGCGUGUGUGAAGAAGGCCCUCGGGUUGUAAAGCACUUUCAGUGAGGAAGAACGCCUGGUGGUUAAUACCCAUCAGGAAAGACAUCACUCACAGAAGAAGCACCGGCUAACUCCGUGCCAGCAGCCGCGGUAAUACGGAGGGUGCGAGCGUUAAUCGGAAUUACUGGGCGUAAAGCGCGCGUAGGUGGCUUGAUAAGCCGGUUGUGAAAGCCCCGGGCUCAACCUGGGAACGGCAUCCGGAACUGUCAAGCUAGAGUGCAGGAGAGGAAGGUAGAAUUCCCGGUGUAGCGGUGAAAUGCGUAGAGAUCGGGAGGAAUACCAGUGGCGAAGGCGGCCUUCUGGACUGAAACUGACACUGAGGUGCGAAAGCGUGGGUAGCAAACAGGAUUAGAUACCCCUGUAGUC
RNAcentral lists this ribosomal RNA (465 nucleotides) under Vreelandella stevensii. Its description in RNAcentral is "partial 16S ribosomal RNA". It matches the Rfam family "Bacterial small subunit ribosomal RNA", at positions 338 to 795 of the family's 1533-position model. Lineage: Bacteria; Pseudomonadati; Pseudomonadota; Gammaproteobacteria; Oceanospirillales; Halomonadaceae. The record is from RNAcentral.